GGACAAGCCCUGGAAACGGGGUCUAAUACCGGAUAUCACUUCCAUUCGCAUGGGUGGAGGUUGAAAGCUCCGGCGGUGAAGGAUGAGCCCGCGGCCUAUCAGCUUGUUGGUGAGGUAAUGGCUUACCAAGGCGACGACGGGUAGCCGGCCUGAGAGGGCGACCGGCCACACUGGGACUGAGACACGGCCCAGACUCCUACGGGAGGCAGCAGUGGGGAAUAUUGCACAAUGGGCGAAAGCCUGAUGCAGCGACGCCGCGUGAGGGAUGACGGCCUUCGGGUUGUAAACCUCUUUCAGCAGGGAAGAAGCGAAAGUGACGGUACCUGCAGAAGAAGCGCCGGCUAACUACGUGCCAGCAGCCGCGGUAAUACGUAGGGCGCGAGCGUUGUCCGGAAUUAUUGGGCGUAAAGAGCUCGUAGGCGGCUUGUCACGUCGGGUGUGAAAGACCGGGGCUUAACUCCGGUUCUGCAUUCGAUACGGGCUAGCUAGAGUGUGGUAGGGGAGAUCGGAAUUCCUGGUGUAGCGGUGAAAUGCGCAGAUAUCAGGAGGAACACCGGUGGCGAAGGCGGAUCUCUGGGCCAUUACUGACGCUGAGGAGCGAAAGCGUGGGGAGCGAACAGGAUUAGAUACCCUGGUAGUCCACGCCGUAAACGGUGGGAACUAGGUGUUGGCGACAUUCCACGUCGUCGGUGCCGCAGCUAACGCAUUAAGUUCCCCGCCUGGGGAGUACGGCCGCAAGGCUAAAACUCAAAGGAAUUGACGGGGG
Molecule: ribosomal RNA, 766 nt
Filed under: Streptomyces pseudovenezuelae
Lineage: Bacteria; Bacillati; Actinomycetota; Actinomycetes; Kitasatosporales; Streptomycetaceae
Description: bacterial SSU rRNA
Rfam family: Bacterial small subunit ribosomal RNA
Source: RNAcentral